RNAcentral lists this ribosomal RNA (249 nucleotides) under Triticum aestivum (bread wheat). RNAcentral's name for it is "partial small subunit ribosomal RNA". Lineage: Eukaryota; Viridiplantae; Streptophyta; Magnoliopsida; Poales; Poaceae. The record is from RNAcentral.
AUGGGGAAGAAGUACAAGGCCACGCCCAUGUCCAAGUGGUGCAACUCGGUGCUCUUGUCCGUGCAGUUUGCAGGUGUAUUCUGGGACGACAACAUCAAAAGCUCAGUCUCGGCUAGACUAGAAACAAAUGAAGUGAUUGCAUCUUGCUAUCGGAGAAUAGGUAAUAAUACAAGGAGUUCUUCAGACCGGGUAGUGUUGUCACCUAAGAAGGGGAAGGGAGUUCAGACAAAACAUGAACACGGUGGUUAA